RNAcentral lists this small nucleolar RNA (89 nucleotides) under Sungouiella intermedia. RNAcentral's name for it is "Candida intermedia Small nucleolar RNA SNORD24". It matches the Rfam family "Small nucleolar RNA SNORD24". From Rfam's summary of the family: U24 is a member of the C/D class of snoRNA which contain the C (UGAUGA) and D (CUGA) box motifs. C/D box snoRNAs have been shown to act as methylation guides for a number of RNA targets. Lineage: Eukaryota; Fungi; Ascomycota; Pichiomycetes; Serinales; Metschnikowiaceae. The record is from Rfam by way of RNAcentral.
GGAAAUAUGAUGUUUCCAAUAUUUGCUACUUCAGACGGAGCAUAACAGCUUCGAAUGAGACAUUCAUAAUCACCAAGAUCUCUGAUUCC